UAAUAUACUUGAGCAUUGACGUUAUCUACAGAAGAAGCACUGGCUAACUCUGUGCCAGCAGCCGCGGUAAUACAGAGAGUGCAAGCGUUAAUCGGAAUCACUGGGCGUAAAGCGCGCGUAGGUGGAUGUUUAAGUCGGAUGUGAAAGCCCUAGGCUUAACCUAGGAACUGCAUUCGAUACUGAAUAUCUCGAGUAUGGUAGAGGGAAGUGGAAUUUCCGGUGUAGCGGUGAAAUGCGUAGAUAUCGGAAAGAACACCAGUGGCGAAGGCGGCUUCCUGGACCAAUACUGACACUGAGGUGCGAAAGCGUGGGGAGCAAACAGGAUUAGAGACCCUGGUAGUCCACGCCGUCAACGAUGAGAACUAGCUGUUGGGAAGUUUACUUUCUAGUAGCGAAGCUAACGCGUUAAGUUCUCCGCCUGGGGAGUACGGCCGCAAGGUUAAAACUCAAAGAAAUGACGGGGCCCG
This 467-nucleotide ribosomal RNA is filed under the name uncultured Coxiellaceae bacterium. RNAcentral's name for it is "bacterial SSU rRNA". It matches the Rfam family "Bacterial small subunit ribosomal RNA", at positions 455 to 923 of the family's 1533-position model. Lineage: Bacteria; Pseudomonadati; Pseudomonadota; Gammaproteobacteria; Legionellales; Coxiellaceae. The record is from RNAcentral.